Molecule: non-coding RNA, 779 nt
Organism: Dermacentor albipictus
Lineage: Eukaryota; Metazoa; Arthropoda; Arachnida; Ixodida; Ixodidae
Source: RefSeq, a predicted model, not a curated record
ACUGGGCCUAUAGAUGGCACCACUUCGCUCACUACGGCGGUUGCUUAAUGCUAGUGGCUUUGAUGCACUCCCACGUGGGAAAUAGUCACGGUUGCCAAGUUUUCAUGCGCCCAGCGUCAUGGUAAGCACUCGGCGGCUUAAAAAUGACCCGCUGUUUGGAAUCGACUCUCGGUGGAGCUGGAUCACAGCCUUCUUCUGUGCUUGGGUGUUGUUCCUGGCCAUGGCGACACCCCGUAUGGCUGGAAUUUUCUUUUAUGGAAUCGUCGAAACAUUCGGGGCAACCAGAAAUGAAGCUUCGUGGCCGGUGUCCCUGGCGGGUACCUUCACAGUAUUAGGAGGUCCAAUAGCUGGCUACCUCUGCCAGCGUUUUUCAUGUCGGGCAGUGCUGCUGGUCUGUUCACCUUUGGCUGGAAUUGGAGUCUGCCUAUGUUACCUGGCGAGAGAUCUCCUUUUUAUCACCAUUUUCUUGGGAAUCUUUCACGGUACUGCGUUGUGCGGCUUGUACGUGGCUUCCAAUAUCCUGCUCGCCCAGCAUUUCGAGAAGCGAAGAGCGACGGCCAUUAGCCUAGUGUUUACAGCGUUCGGCUUCAGCUCUGUGGUUCUUACGCCACUCAUAGAGUUCUUGCGAAAGACGUAUGGAAUCCGUGGAGCGUUUCUCAUUUAUGGUGCGAUUCUCCUAAACACGAUACCAGCCGUUAUUGUUCUCAGAAGCCCGCCGUGGCUGACGAAGUCUGAAAUAGCAAAGAAAGCGAUGCCCAAUGAAGAGGAUCAAAAAAAGG